RNAcentral lists this long non-coding RNA (376 nucleotides) under Oryza sativa Indica Group (long-grained rice). RNAcentral describes it as "lncRNA OsZS97_10G002250". The record is from RNAcentral. Lineage: Eukaryota; Viridiplantae; Streptophyta; Magnoliopsida; Poales; Poaceae.
AUGAGGGAGGUCUGGAUGCUUCCUGCACAUGAGGAUGUGAAGUAUACCUGGAAGGAUUGGCUCCUUUUAAUUCUUGCGAACCUAUAUGAGCUAGAGCAGGCUUGUACUUUAAUAUUGUUGUGGCACAUAUGGCAUGUACAAAAUGAUAUCACUCAUGUCCUUGGAAUCGUCGUCCGUGACUGUAGCGGCAAUGUUAUCUUCAUCUCGCGCAAAGCCAUCACCCACUGUUUUGAUGCCCUUGAGGUGGAAUUGAUGGCAUGUUGGGAUGGGUUGUCGUUAACGCUACAGUGGACCUUGUUCCCAAUUAUAGUGGAAUCGGACUGCGAUGUAGCAAUAAGAUCCUUGUUAAUUAGCCAAGGAAGAUGAUUACUCCAGG